This is a ribosomal RNA of Capra hircus (goat), 123 nucleotides long. Lineage: Eukaryota; Metazoa; Chordata; Mammalia; Artiodactyla; Bovidae. The record is from Ensembl.
GUCUACGGCAGUACCACCCUGAACACGCCCAAUCCCGUCUGAUCUCAGAAGCUAAGCAGGAUGGGGCCUGGUUAGUACUUGGAUGGGAGAAUGCCUAAAAGACUUUCCAGGAAGUCAGAGUUG